RNAcentral lists this ribosomal RNA (647 nucleotides) under uncultured bacterium. Its description in RNAcentral is "bacterial SSU rRNA". It matches the Rfam family "Bacterial small subunit ribosomal RNA", at positions 54 to 749 of the family's 1533-position model. The record is from RNAcentral.
CAUGCAAGUCGAACGCCCCGCAAGGGGAGUGGCAGACGGGUGAGUAACGCGUGGGAAUCUACCCAGUUCUACGGAACAACACAGGGAAACUUGUGCUAAUACCGUAUACGCCCCAAGGGGGAAAGAUUUAUCGGAAUUGGAUGAGCCCGCGUUGGAUUAGCUAGUUGGUGGGGUAAUGGCCUACCAAGGCGACGAUCCAUAGCUGGUCUGAGAGGAUGAUCAGCCACACUGGGACUGAGACACGGCCCAGACUCCUACGGGAGGCAGCAGUGGGGAAUAUUGGACAAUGGGCGAAAGCCUGAUCCAGCCAUGCCGCGUGAGUGAUGAAGGCCUUAGGGUUGUAAAGCUCUUUCAGUGGGGACGAUAAUGACGGUACCCACAGAAGAAGCCCCGGCUAACUUCGUGCCAGCAGCCGCGGUAAUACGAAGGGGGCUAGCGUUGUUCGGAUUUACUGGGCGUAAAGCGCACGUAGGCGGAUCGUUAAGUGAGGGGUGAAAUCCCAGGGCUCAACCCUGGAACUGCCUUUCAUACUGGCGAUCUUGAGUCCGGAAGAGGUGAGUGGAACUCCUAGUGUAGAGGUGGAAUUCGUAGAUAUUAGGAAGAACACCAGUGGCGAAGGCGGCUCACUGGUCCGGUACUGACGCUGA